CUUGUUUCAACUCAUCAUUCCUGUACAGCGGAGAUGCCGAAUGCAGUUUGGUGCUCUUUUUGUUGAGAUGUUGAGACCUGCAAAGCUGGAAGUUUGUCGACUCCUGCUAUUUGUAUAACGGCUCCACUCCUAAGACUUUGUGAACUCCGGUACCUAACGUACACUACCUCCUCCACUGCCUCAUACAUGCUUCUUUACCUAUUCCUCUGGUCCAUCUUCAACCCUGGAAGAGUGAAGAGCAGAGACUGCCCUGAUCCUGUGAUCCUCGAUCCUCUCCUUAUCCCAGUCCUGAUCACUAACAAUGAGUACAGCUGCUGCCUGACCUGCUGACAUUUUCUCGAGUUCUGGAGAAGGAAUUGUGUUCUACCUCCAGUUAUGCUCUGAGUGUUGAUCCUUCAAAAUGGGUGAGUCAACUGUCCAUUUCUCCAGGACAGGCGUC
Long non-coding RNA from Mobula hypostoma (lesser devil ray), 439 nucleotides. RefSeq lists it as uncharacterized. The record is from RefSeq and is a predicted model, not a curated record. Lineage: Eukaryota; Metazoa; Chordata; Chondrichthyes; Myliobatiformes; Myliobatidae. The transcript is spliced from 3 exons.